Molecule: ribosomal RNA, 884 nt
Filed under: uncultured bacterium
Lineage: Bacteria
Description: bacterial SSU rRNA
Rfam family: Bacterial small subunit ribosomal RNA
Source: RNAcentral
AGAGUUUGAUCAUGGCUCAGAACGUACGCUGGCGGCACGCCUAACACAUGCAAGUCGAACGCAGUAGCAAUACUGAGUGGCAAACGGGUGAGUAUAAUGUGGGAAUCUGCCUUUUGGUUUGGAAUAACACGGGGAAACUUGUGCUAAUACCGAAUAAGCCCUUACGGGGAAAGUUUUAACGCCGAAAGAUGAGCCCGCACUUGAUUAGCUAGUUGGUAAGGUAAAAGCUUACCAAGGCAACGAUCAAUAGCUGUUCUUAGAGGAAGACCAGCCACAUUGGGACUGAGACACGGCCCAGACUCCUACGGGAGGCAGCAGUGGGGAAUCUUGCACAAUGGGGGAAACCCUGAUGCAGCGAUGCCGCGUGAGUGAAGAAGGCCCUUGGGUUGUAAAACUCUUUCGUCGGGGAAGAAAAUGACUGUACCCGAAUAAGAAGGUCCGGCUAACUUCGUGCCAGCAGCCGCGGUAAUACGAAGGGACCUAGCGUAGUUCGGAAUUACUGGGCUUAAAGAGCUCGUAGGUGGUUAAAAAAGUUGAUGGUGAAAUCCCAAGGCUCAACCUUGGAACUGCCAUCAAAACUUUUUAGCUAGAGUGUGAUAGAGGUAAGUGGAAUUUCUAGUGUAGAGGUGAAAUUCGUAGAUAUUAGAAAGAACACCAAAUGCGAAGGCAACUUACUGGGUCACUACUGACACUGAGGAGCGAAAGCAUGGGUAGCGAAGAGGAUUAGAUACCCUCGUAGUCCAUGCCGUAAACGAUGUGUGCUAGACGUUGGAAAUAUAUUUUUCAGUGUCGCAGCGAAAGCAUUAAGCACACCGCCUGGGGAGUACGACCGCAAGGUUAAAACUCAAAUGAAUUGACGGGGACCCGCACAAGCAGUGGAGCAU